RNAcentral lists this long non-coding RNA (258 nucleotides) under Chelonoidis abingdonii (Abingdon island giant tortoise). Its description in RNAcentral is "lncRNA (ENSCABG00000018994.1)". Lineage: Eukaryota; Metazoa; Chordata; Testudines; Testudinidae. The record is from RNAcentral.
UGUUUUUGCCUCCUCCGGUACAUGCCAUGGCUGGGGAGAUAGUAUAUGCUGAUUUAAACCUUGCUGGGGCCAGGCUAUCACCUUCAUCUAAAGCUCACAGGAAUCUUCAAGAAUCCCCGCAGUGCCCACGCUGGCAUGGGGUCGUUCUGAAGGUCGGAUGCAUCACGGUCAUCAUCCUGCUGGUGAUGGUAGCAGUGCUGAGUGCUUGGGUUUUCCAGAGCUUCUCUAAUAAAGCAGAGGAAGGAACAGCCUCGAAGA